GUGCCAGCAGCCGCGGUAAUACAGAGGGUGCGAGCGUUGUCCGGAAUCACUGGGCGUAAAGGGCGCGUAGGUGGCUCGUUAAGCGUGUGGUGAAAGCCUGGGGCUCAACCCCAGGUCUGCCGUGCGAACUGGCGAGCUUGAGCAGAGUAGAGGCGGGUGGAAUUUCGGGUGUAGCGGUGGAAUGCGUAGAUAUCCGAAAGAACACCGGUGGCGAAGGCGGCCCGCUGGGCUCUUGCUGACACUGAUGCGCGACAGCGUGGGGAGCAAACAGGAUUAGAAACCCUCGUAGUCC
This 292-nucleotide ribosomal RNA is filed under the name uncultured bacterium. RNAcentral's name for it is "partial 16S ribosomal RNA". It matches the Rfam family "Bacterial small subunit ribosomal RNA", at positions 505 to 796 of the family's 1533-position model. The record is from RNAcentral.